UACCCGCUUAGUUUUAUGUACUAUAUGUUUUCCUUUCUCAGAUGCCCUCAUAGUCCUACUUUUGUCUUAGAACAUUAUUUUCUGGUCGCAGAAGAUACUUCAAAUGAUGGGCUUCCACUUGCUUUUGGUUUGUAGAUGCACUUCGAUCCACUCCAAGUUGUGAUAAAUCUAGAGGUUGGCAUGAGGCAUCCAUCCCUCAAAAUUCUUUUACAAGUAUAAGCGAAAAGAUGAUGUGUCAAAUAAAUUGCUACUGGCAUUUACAUCAGGGAUCAUGGACGGAUCUUUCAAUUAGAUGGGUUGAUAGUGUGGAUAGACUUUUCUGGCGACAAACAAACUCUGAAGGAAAGGGUUGAGGGCUGAUGGGUUGGUUUUUCCAUUUGUAGCAGUGGAGUGCAAACUUGGUUCAAGUAGCAGUAGAUGCAAGUAUGCUUUCUGAGCUUUUGGUGCUGUUGGUUGGAUGUGUCAUGAAUUUUGCUGUUUGUCAGGAUGCUAUGUAGCUGCCUAUGGUCUGGAGUUGCUCUCCAUUUCUUCUUUAGCUUCUCAGUUUUAAGUUGUCAGGAUGGAGGUUGUCCUGUU
This 576-nucleotide long non-coding RNA is filed under the name Oryza brachyantha (malo sina). Its description in RNAcentral is "long non-coding RNA (OBRA_LNC001652)". Lineage: Eukaryota; Viridiplantae; Streptophyta; Magnoliopsida; Poales; Poaceae. The record is from RNAcentral.